AACGUAGGACGCAAGCGUUAUCCGGAGUUACUGGGCGUAAAGCGCGGGCAGGCGGUCUUGCCAGUCUGAUGUGAAAUCUCUCAGCUCAACUGGGAGCAGCCAUUGGAAACUACAAGACUGGAGUCUGGCAGAGGUAGGCGGAAUUCCGGGUGGAGUGGUGAAAUGCGUAGAGAUCCGGAGGAACACCAGUGGCGAAGGCGGCCCACUGGUCCGGUACUGACGCUGAGGUGCGAAAGCGUGGGGAGCAAACAGG
RNAcentral lists this ribosomal RNA (253 nucleotides) under uncultured bacterium. RNAcentral describes it as "partial 16S ribosomal RNA". It matches the Rfam family "Bacterial small subunit ribosomal RNA", at positions 524 to 776 of the family's 1533-position model. The record is from RNAcentral.